GAGACAAAAUUGACAUUUGUGAGACAAAAUUGAUUUUUGUGAGACAAAAUUGACAAAAUUGAAUUUUGUCUCACAAAAUUGAGUUUUGUCUCACAAAAGUC
Molecule: small RNA, 101 nt
Filed under: Mytilus galloprovincialis (Mediterranean mussel)
Lineage: Eukaryota; Metazoa; Mollusca; Bivalvia; Mytilida; Mytilidae
Source: RNAcentral